UGUGUCAUUAUCGUUAAAACUCAAAGUUUUCAAGCCCUUUUUCAUUAGUUUUCCUUUUUAUAUAUGUAUCACUUAUUUAAUUUUAAUUGUUUUAAAAAUUAUUCCUACUUUGGCUUAUGCGUUUGUUUCAUUAUCUUUAAAUAUUACACUAAUACGUUUAUUUUAUGUUUACAGAAAAAGGCGAAGGUGAACAAGAUCAACCGAGAGAAGAAAACUCUUCUCCGCCAUUUUGGUUCGAGACCUUUCUCCUAUUAGAUGGAGGUGCACCAACAGGGGGUUCUAAAUUCCCCGAGAUAGACGUCUUUAAGGAUGUUUAUGUUCUACCAGGGAUGAGCUUGCCGAGCAGUUGCACUUGACGAUGGUGGAGAGGAGCAAGACCGUCCUUUAGGAGUCUGCAUCCCGGCUUCUCCUAAGCACUCCUAUCGAGUUCAUGGCUCCGCCCGAGGAUGUGGGGUUUCAGAUCUUGAUUGUGACCAUUAGGCAAAGGUGGGGGAAGUAUUGUCAGAUGACGGGGUAGGCUCAUCAGCGUUUUAUUGGGGCCUUAUCAUCAUCAUAACCACAGGGCCCCGGUGUCACUGAACUAACGCAUAAAGUGGCCGACCUGAGGAGUAAGCUCGUGUUGAGCGUUGAGGCCCUCAGCUCGAAUGGCAUUUGUCUCUCACUCGACGUUGCUGGUCCCCUCCACCUCCGAGCCACAUAACCCGUCGACCUCCGAGCCCGUCCACUAGCUCGACCGUCAUCUUCCCCAACACACUGAUUAAUAACCCAUCCAGCAGCACGACUUCUAGCCCGACCCGCACCCCUACCUGCAGACGACCCUAUUUAAUGACCAAAUAUUUAUAGGUUUCUUUUUUCUUAGUUUUAAACUUUUUACUUGUACGUACAUUUUUAUUUGAUAUCUAAAUGUCAUUUUUUUCCUCCAUUCAUUAU
Non-coding RNA from Malus domestica (apple), 930 nucleotides. The record is from RefSeq and is a predicted model, not a curated record. Lineage: Eukaryota; Viridiplantae; Streptophyta; Magnoliopsida; Rosales; Rosaceae.